GCAGGAGUGGCGGAAUGGUAGACGCGAAGGUCUCAAAAACCUUUGGUAGCAAUACCAUGUGGGUUCAAGUCCCAUCUCCUGUACCA
RNAcentral lists this transfer RNA (86 nucleotides) under Mollicutes bacterium. RNAcentral's name for it is "tRNA-Leu". It matches the Rfam family "tRNA". From Rfam's summary of the family: Transfer RNA (tRNA) molecules are approximately 80 nucleotides in length. Lineage: Bacteria; Bacillati; Mycoplasmatota; Mollicutes. The record is from RNAcentral.